UGCCCAAGCCAUUCUCGACAGUUACGCGGCACCUACAUAUUAUGAAAGGAAGGGAAUAAGAAAGGCCUUUCCACGAGCCAUUUCCAUGCCGGUAGAUUCCCCCAUAUUCUGAAAGGAAGGGAAGUUGUCGAAAUGUUGUGGAGGAGUCUGGGUUUCGCUUGAGAUGAAAUGUUGUUGCUCGGUGAGACGGCAAACUGAUGGAGAUUGUUGUGGCGGUUAUGGUACUUGCUGGUUCAGGGGUUUGGGCUGGGUUAGAGAUGGAGGAAAUCCGGUUUGAAGCUCUGAUGUGGAAGUGAAAAAAGGCUUAUGGAUGAGGAUUGUUGUGAUGUGGUGGAGUUUGGAGUUUUAGAAAUCAAGCGGCUUCGAGAAUGGAUUGUUGGUGGAUUUGGAGAGCAGAAAGACAGGGGACACCAGGGAGACCGAGUUAGAUUUUGAUGACUUGAGGACAGAAAAUUGAGUGUGGAUGCAGAAAUAUGGGGAGAAAAUCAUCGGAGACUCGUCUAGUAGUUGAGCGUUAACAAAAAUUCAAAUACAGCUUUAGCAAGGAAGUGCAAGAAGUCAGCUUCUCUUGAUUCUGAUUUCAUAGCUUCGUCAGGAAGAGUAGAGAAGGAAACUCUAAAAUUGAGGGAAUCUCAUCACUGGCUAGGAGAGUCAUCUUAGUUCAUUUGCUGAUGCUCUACCACAUCUCAACCGUUGAAUGCUCUACCACAUCUCAACCGUUGAACUCCAAAUUUUUCAUUCACGAUGACUACCUUUUUCACAUGAAUAAGUUAUGUAUCCCUCAAUACUCAUUACGAUUACAACUUAUCGCAAAGCUCCAUGGUGAGAAAUGUCGGGACAUCGUGGGCAGGACAAGACGUAUUCCUUGAUGGAUGAACGCUACUAUUGGCUUAAGAUGAGGAAGGAUGUUGUUAAGUUUGUUCAAUCUUGCUGUACUUGCCAAAUUGCAAAGGGGCAUAGUCAAAAUAGUGGGUUGUAUACUCCUCUAUCUAUUCUGAACACAGGCCCUGAGAGCAUGUUUCUAUGGAUUUCAUUGUUGGACUUUCCACGGCAGUUUGUAGAGUAGAUUCAAUCAUGGUGGUUGUAGACAGAUUCUCGAAAAUGGCCGUUUUCAGUGGAUGACAGAUGCAUCAUUGGUUGUCGUUUACUAUUUCAAAGAUGUGGCACGGUUUCAUGGACUUCUUCGUUCAAUCACAUCAUAUUGAGAUACGAGGUUCUUGAAUCAUUUUUGGUGUUCACUAGGGUCUAGUAAAUACUAAACUUCAGUUUAGUGCUUACCACCCUUAGACCGAUGGCCAAACCGAGGUAGUCAAUAGAAUUCUAGGAAACUUAGGUGUCUCGUAGGAGAGAAUACAAAAACUUGAGACUUAGUGCUACCACAAGUAGGGGUGAACAACGAGCCGAGUAACUCGAACUCGGCUCGUUAAAGCUCGGCUCGAAUGCAAGUUCGAGCCAGCUUUUCUACUCAACGAGCCAAGUUCGAGUUAAUUGUUCGGCUCAUACAUUUUAUCGAGCCGAGCUCGAGUUCGUUUUACGAAACUCGCUUAACCCAACUCGGCUCGAUAGCUUGGAUAUUUAUGUGUUUCGUCAUCGAUUCAUUUUUUCGUCUUUUUUUCUCUCAUGCUCGUCCUCGAGGCUCUGUGUCUGCCGCUGCCCUUGGUACACCCUCUCUCUAUCUACCGUGUUCUUCUAUUUCUUCUUCUUCCUCCUCUUCUCCCACCCAGAGAUGGUCGUUACUUCUUCUUCCUCCUCCUCUUCUCCCACCCAGAGACGUUGCUACUUCUUCUUCCUCCUCUUCUCCCACCCAGAGACAUUGCUACUUCUUCUUCCUCCUCCUCUUCUCCCACCCAAAGAUGGUCGCCGGAGUCAAACAUCUCCUUCCAUCUCCUUCCCAUCCCAAACCUUAACCCUACUCCCAGCCAUCACCGCAAGCUCUCCACUGUCUGAUCCUUCCCUCCGGCCACCAUCGCUAACCUCGGCCCCAUCCUCCUUCGAUUAGCACCGACAUCCGGCGAUUGGUGGAACGACUGAUGGCAACCAAUGAACUACCUUCUGCUACUGGCCUCUUCUUCCCCCUUCCACAGUAGCAUCUGCUAUUGCCGUCUUCUUCCCCCUUUCACUUCCACAGCAGAAGCAUCUGGAACUACUGCCAUCUUCUUCCCCCUUCGACUUUCACAGCAGAAGCAUCUGGAACUACUGUUGUUCUCCCUUCCACAGUAGAAGUAUAUGGAAGACUGGAACAAACAAAUAAUCGAGUUAAACGAGUCGGUCGAGUCAAUCUCGAGCUCGAACACAAUCAAUCGAGUCAAGCUCGAGCUACCAUUGUAAAGCUCGACUCGAGUUCGAGCCGAGCUCGAGCUGACCAAAACAAGAGUCGAGCCGAGCUCGAGCUGACUGAGCUCGGGCUCCACUCGGCUCGUGUUCAGCCCUAACCACAAGCUGAGUUUGCAUAUAAUAACUCAGUCAAUCGUUCCACUGGGAAGACUCCUUUUCAAGUAGUAUAUGGUCGGUCUCUGAACCAUGUUGUUGACUUGUCCCUAGUACCUGGUGCUGGAGAACAUGCUCCGGCGACACGUGUUGCUAUUGAAUAUAUGUGUGAUGUCUAUAGUCAAGUGAAACUGAAGUUCCAAGAGAGGUAUGAAACCUACAAGUCCCUUGUUGAUCGGAGUCGUCUAGAUGUCAACUUUGAGGUAGGUCAACAAGUUUGGGUCUACCUACGACCUGAGCGUUGUCCUGUUGGUACUUAUAGUAAGUUAAGUCCUACGAAAUAUGACCUUUUCCACAUCAGUCGUCGUCUAGGAACAAAUGCUUAUCUGUUUGAGCUUCCUGAGGAUUGGCAAAUUUCGCCGAUCUUCAAUGUUUCUGGUCUGUUUCCCUACUCUGGUGACAUUGAUUCGUUAAAGACGACUUUUUUCCAACCAAGGGAGAAUGAUGCAGAGCAGGACCAGACACGUCACUCUCCUGGUUCCAAUUCCCCACCUCAGGUCCCACCUUUGGGCAUCAGUGUAGAUCAUGAAUCUUUAGUCGUGGAAUUCCACGCGGACCCGGAGCAUAGUUGAGAGGAAGUGCCCCUGCGUAGAUACUCGAGGCGCACCAAGGGUUGAAUUCAUCUCAGCUACUAGUGUCACCAACUUUGUGUCUAUUAAAUUGGAUGGGUGAACUCCAAGGGCUGGUGGAAUCAGUAGAAUCAGAUGGAAAUGGAGCCCAAUCAUCUACAAGCAGUGUCGUGUUAGAACUGAUGCCCAUCAAGGAUAUUUUGCUGAAUUAUAGUGCACAUUGCACAUCAUGGUUAUUUUUGGUGAAUUCGCCGAUGGACGUGAACAUAAUGAAUGAAGUUUUUGAGCGGAGGAAGACACAAAGGUGGAGAAGACAUUGAAUCAAUAUCAUCAAUCUUUGAUCAAUCAAAUAAAAAUUUCUUUUGAAAACUAGACACUGGAUAAACAUGUGUAUAAUUUUUUCUGAUUUGUAUAAUUUUGUACUUUUUUAAUGAAAUUUCUAUUGUGAAAAUUUCUUUUCAA
Long non-coding RNA from Nymphaea colorata (pocket water lily), 3518 nucleotides. RefSeq lists it as uncharacterized. The record is from RefSeq and is a predicted model, not a curated record. NCBI's taxonomy places the organism in Eukaryota, Viridiplantae, Streptophyta, Magnoliopsida, Nymphaeales, Nymphaeaceae. The transcript is spliced from 6 exons.